This 2174-nucleotide ribosomal RNA is filed under the name human gut metagenome. RNAcentral describes it as "bacterial LSU rRNA". It matches the Rfam family "Bacterial large subunit ribosomal RNA", at positions 14 to 2254 of the family's 2925-position model. The record is from RNAcentral.
AGAGCGCACGGUGGAUGCCUUGGCACUAAUAGGCGAAGAAGGACGCGACUAACAGCGAAAUGCUACGGGGAGCAGUAAGUACGCAGAGAUCCGUAGAUGUCCGAAUGGGGGAACCCACUAGUUUGAAGAACUAGUAUCAUAUAGUGAAUACAUAGCUAUAUGAGGCAAACCUGGAGAAUUGAAACAUCUUAGUACCCAGAGGAAAAGAAAAUAAAUAAUGAUUCCCUAAGUAGAGGCGAUUGAAAGGGGAAGAGCCCAGCACCAUCAAGAGUUACAAAAUCUUUUUAUAGUAGAAUUGUAUUGGAAAAGCAAGUCAAAGAAGGUGAAAGCCCUGUAUACGAAAUAAAGAGAUCUCGGUGUGAGAGUAGGGCGGAGCACGUGAAAUUCUGUCUGAAUAUGCGAGGACCAUCUCGUAAGGCUAAAUACUCAUUAGUGACCGAUAGUGAACCAGUACUGUGAAGGAAAGGUGAAAAGAACCCCUGGCGGGGAGUGAAAAGAACCUGAAACCGUGUGCUUACAAACAGUUAGAGCCCAUCAAUGGGUGAUAGCGUGCCUUUUGUAGAAUGAGCCGGCGAGUUACGUUAAUUUGCAAGGUUAAGCUUUUAGGAGUGGAGCCGUAGCGAAAGCAAGUCUUAAUAGGGCGAAUAAGUAGAUUGACGUAUACCCGAAACCGGGUGAUCUAGCCAUGAGCAGGUUGAAGCUUGGGUAAAACCAGGUGGAGGACCGAACCAGGGUCUGUUGAAAAAGACUUGGAUGACUUGUGGCUAGGGGUGAAAUUCCAAUCGAACCCGGAGAUAGCUGGUUCUCCCCGAAAUAGCUUUAGGGCUAGCGUUGUGAGAAGAGUUAUACGAAGGUAGAGCACUGAAUGGGUGAGGGCCGCACCUCGCGGUACCAAUCUCAAUCAAACUCCGAAUGUCGUAUAAUAUGCGCAGCAGUAAGACUAUGGGUGAUAAGGUCCAUGGUCAAAAGGGAAACAGCCCAGACCGCCAGUUAAGGUCCCAAAAUUAUGCUAAGUGGGAAAGGAGGUGGAGUCGCUUAAACAACUAGGAGGUUGGCUCAGAAGCAGCCAUCCUUUAAAGAGUGCGUAAUAGCUCACUAGUCGAGUGAUUCUGCGCCGAAAAUGUAUCGGGGCUAAGCAUAAUACCGAAGCUGCGGGAUUAGAUGAAGAAUCUAAUCGGUAGGGGAGCGUACUAAGUGCGUAGAAGGUUGACCGGAAGGGCAGCUGGAGCGCUUAGCAGUGAGUAUGCCGGUGUGAGUAGCGAUAAGAUGGGUGAGAAUCCCAUCCGUCGAAAGCCUAAGGUUUCCAGGGGUAAGGCUCGUCCUCCCUGGGUAAGUCGGGUCCUAAGGUGAGGCUGAGAAGCGUAGCUGAUGGACAUCAGGUUGAUAUUCCUGAACCACCAUAAAACUGAAGGAAUGACGGAGGAGGCUAAUCAGAGCUGAUUAAUGGAUUUCAGUUUAAGUACAAAGAGGGUUACGUAGGCAAAUCCGCGUAGCAAAACCUUGAAGUAUGAUGACGUAAGUCUGGUGAAGCCACACUUCCAAGAAAAGUUUCUAGGUGUAUUUUAUGGUGCCCGUACCGUAAACGGACACACGUAGGCGAGGAGAGAAUCCAAAGACGCGCGAGAUAAUUCUUGUUAAGGAACUCUGCAAAAUUACUCUGUAACUUCGGAAUAAAGAGGGCUCCCGUGAGGGAGACGCAGAAAAUAGGCCCAAGCGACUGUUUAACAAAAACAUAGGUUUCUGCUAAAGCGUAAGCUGAUGUAUAGGAGCUGACGCCUGCCCAGUGCUGGAAGGUUAAGAGGAGAAGUUAGUCGCAAGGCGAAGCUUUGAAUUGAAGCCCCAGUAAACGGCGGCCGUAACUAUAACGGUCCUAAGGUAGCGAAAUUCCUUGUCAGGUAAGUUCUGACCCGCACGAAAGGCGUAACGAUUUGGGCGCUGUCUCAACAAGAAACUCGGUGAAAUCAUAGUACCUGUGAAGAUGCAGGUUACCCGCGAUCAGACGGAAAGACCCCAUGGAGCUUCACUGCAACUUAAUAUUGAUAUUGGGUGUGUGAUGUACAGGAUAGGUGGGAGACAAAGAAGCGAGUACGCUAGUAUUCGUGGAGUCAACCUUGGGAUACCACCCCUCGCACAUUUAGUAUCUAACUAGUUUCCAUAAGCUGGGAAUAGAACAG